AACGCGAAGAACCUUACCAGCCCUUGACAUGUCCCGUAUGGGGCGGGGAGACCCGUUCCUUCAGUUCGGCUGGCGGGAACACAGGUGCUGCAUGGCUGUCGUCAGCUCGUGUCGUGAGAUGUUGGGUUAAGUCCCGCAACGAGCGCAACCCUCAUCCUCAGUUGCCAUCAGGUAAGGCUGGGCACUCUGGGGAAACUGCCGGUGACAAGCCGGAGGAAGGCGGGGAUGACGUCAAGUCCUCAUGGCCCUUAUGGGCUGGGCUACACACGUGCUACAAUGGCGGUGACAGAGGGGUGCAAGGGGGCGACCCCGCGCCGAUCUCAAAAAGCCGUCUCAGUUCGGAUUGCUCUCUGCAACUCGAGAGCAUGAAGUCGGAAUCGCUAGUAAUCGCGGAUCAGCAUGCCGCGGUGAAUACGGUUCCCGGGCCUUGUACACACCGACAUA
RNAcentral lists this ribosomal RNA (444 nucleotides) under uncultured bacterium. Its description in RNAcentral is "bacterial SSU rRNA". It matches the Rfam family "Bacterial small subunit ribosomal RNA", at positions 958 to 1397 of the family's 1533-position model. The record is from RNAcentral.